AAAGCUCAAAUUUAAAAGCUGGUGGUCUCAGGCCGCCCGCAUUGUAAUCUAGAGAAGUGUUAUCCGCGCUGGACCGUGUACAAGUCUCCUGGAAUGGAGCGUCAUAGAGGGUGAGAAUCCCGUCUUUGACACGGACUGCCAGGGCUUUGUGAUGCGCUCUCAAAGAGUCGAGUUGUUUGGGAAUGCAGCUCAAAAUGGGUGGUAAAUUCCAUCUAAAGCUAAAUAUUGGCGAGAGACCGAUAGCGAA
RNAcentral lists this ribosomal RNA (247 nucleotides) under Galerina sp. 2 CRJH-2017. Its description in RNAcentral is "partial 28S ribosomal RNA". It matches the Rfam family "Eukaryotic large subunit ribosomal RNA", at positions 104 to 344 of the family's 3401-position model. Lineage: Eukaryota; Fungi; Basidiomycota; Agaricomycetes; Agaricales; Galerinaceae. The record is from RNAcentral.